This is a long non-coding RNA of Physella acuta, 443 nucleotides long. RefSeq lists it as uncharacterized. The record is from RefSeq and is a predicted model, not a curated record. Lineage: Eukaryota; Metazoa; Mollusca; Gastropoda; Physidae.
ACACACAUCACGUGAUCCACACUAAGAUUACUAUCGAGUGCUUUAUUGCCCCGAUACGGUGGGAAACGUCAGUCACGUGACGCCGUGUUUACUGCAGGUACUUGGGUAGGUAAACCACGGUACUAACGCUGUCAGUUGAUACACCAUUCUACCCCGUCAGUUGGUACACCAUUCUACCCCGUCAGUUGGUACAUCACGGUACCCCGUCGGUGGUACACCACACUUCACUUACAAUCAGCUGACUAGCUGGACCUAAGGGGACAUUACUAUAAUCUAGUCGACUAUACAUUUAAAAUACUCAUUGAUAGUUUACUGUGAGGUGUGUAGAGUGUUUUUAUCUAUAGCGACGUAGUUCACCGAGAUUUACCUGUGGUGACGUAGAUCACCCUCCGUUUAUUACUGUAUUUAAACAACAUCCAGCCCAGUUGAACUAGUCACAGAAC